AUUGAAUGCUGGCGGCGUGCUUAACACAUGCAAGUCGAGCGGUAACAGGUGUAGCAAUACCUGCUGACGAGCGGCGAACGGGUGAGUAAUGCUUCGGAAUCUUCCUCGUAGUGGGGAAUAACCUGGGGAAACUCAGGCUAAUACCGCAUACGAACUACGGUUGAAAGCGGGGGAUCGCAAGACCUCGCGCUAUGAGAUGAGCCGAAGUCGGAUUAGCUAGUUGGUGGGGUAACGGCCCACCAAGGCGACGAUCCGUAGCUGGUCUGAGAGGACGACCAGCCACACUGGGACUGAGACACGGCCCAGACUCCUACGGGAGGCAGCAGUGGGGAAUAUUGGACAAUGGGCGAAAGCCUGAUCCAGCGACGCCGCGUGUGUGAAGAAGGCCUGCGGGUUGUAAAGCACUUUUAGUGGGGAUGAAAAGCCGAAGGCUAAUACCUUUCGGUCUUGACCUAACCCAAAGAAAAAGCACCGGCUAACUCUGUGCCAGCAGCCGCGGUAAUACAGAGGGUGCAAGCGUUAAUCGGAAUUACUGGGCGUAAAGCGUGCGUAGUCGGUUAUUCAUGUCGGGUGUGAAAGCCCCGGGCUCAACCUGGGAAUUGCAUUCGAUACUGUUUAGCUAG
This 623-nucleotide ribosomal RNA is filed under the name uncultured bacterium. RNAcentral describes it as "bacterial SSU rRNA". It matches the Rfam family "Bacterial small subunit ribosomal RNA", at positions 28 to 644 of the family's 1533-position model. The record is from RNAcentral.